GACGAACGCUGGCGGCGUGCUUAACACAUGCAAGUCGAACGGAAAGGCCCUGCUUUUGUGGGGUGCUCGAGUGGCGAACGGGUGAGUAACACGUGAGUAACCUGCCCUUGACUUUGGGAUAACUUCAGGAAACUGGGGCUAAUACCGGAUAGGAGCUCCUGCUGCAUGGUGGGGGUUGGAAAGUUUCGGCGGUUGGGGAUGGACUCGCGGCUUAUCAGCUUGUUGGUGGGGUAGUGGCUUACCAAGGCUUUGACGGGUAGCCGGCCUGAGAGGGUGACCGGCCACAUUGGGACUGAGAUACGGCCCAGACUCCUACGGGAGGCAGCAGUGGGGAAUAUUGCACAAUGGGCGGAAGGCUGAUGCAGCAACGCCGCGUGGGGGAUGACGGGCUUCGGGUUGUAAACCGCUUUCGCCUGUGACGAAGCGUGAGUGACGGUAAUGGGUAAAGAAGCACCGGCUAACUACGUG
This 468-nucleotide ribosomal RNA is filed under the name uncultured bacterium. Its description in RNAcentral is "partial 16S ribosomal RNA". It matches the Rfam family "Bacterial small subunit ribosomal RNA", at positions 28 to 507 of the family's 1533-position model. The record is from RNAcentral.